CUGAUGACAUGUGGGGGCUCAGCCAC
RNAcentral lists this non-coding RNA (26 nucleotides) under Rattus norvegicus (Norway rat). The record is from RNAcentral. Lineage: Eukaryota; Metazoa; Chordata; Mammalia; Rodentia; Muridae.